UACGUAGGGUGCAAGCGUUGUCCGGAAUUAUUGGGCGUAAAGAGCUCGUAGGCGGCCUGUCGCGUCGGCUGUGAAAACCCGGGGCUCAACCCCGGGCCUGCAGUCGAUACGGGCAGGCUAGAGUCCGGUAGGGGAGACUGGAAUUCCUGGUGUAGCGGUAAAAUGCGCAGAUAUCAGGAGGAACACCGGUGGCGAAGGCGGGUCUCUGGGCCGGAACUGACGCUAAGGAGCGAAAGCGUGGGGAGCGAACAGG
Molecule: ribosomal RNA, 253 nt
Filed under: uncultured bacterium
Lineage: Bacteria
Description: partial 16S ribosomal RNA
Rfam family: Bacterial small subunit ribosomal RNA
Source: RNAcentral